ACGUCCCUGCCCUUUGUACACA
Molecule: non-coding RNA, 22 nt
Filed under: Arabidopsis thaliana (thale cress)
Lineage: Eukaryota; Viridiplantae; Streptophyta; Magnoliopsida; Brassicales; Brassicaceae
Also listed under: 1 other name
Source: RNAcentral